This 318-nucleotide ribosomal RNA is filed under the name uncultured eukaryote. RNAcentral's name for it is "partial 18S ribosomal RNA". It matches the Rfam family "Eukaryotic small subunit ribosomal RNA", at positions 1470 to 1796 of the family's 1831-position model. The record is from RNAcentral.
CCCUUAGAUGUCCUGGGCCGCACGCGUGCUACACUGAUGCAUACAGCGAGUACUUUCCAGCUCCGCGAGGCAGCUGGUAAUCAGCAAUAUGCAUCGUGCUGGGGAUAGAUCUUUGGAAUUAUAGAUCUUGAACGAGGAAUUCCUAGUAAGCGCAAGUCACUAGCUUGCGCUGAUUAAGUCCCUGCCCUUUGUACACACCGCCCGUCGCUCCUACCGAUUUCGAGUGAUUCGGUGAACCUUUUGGACAGCGUCUGUCCUCGUGUCAGAUGCUGAAAGUCAAGUAAACCAUAUCACUUAGAGGAAGGAGAAGUCGUAACA